GACGAACGCUGGCGGCGUGCCUAAUACAUGCAAGUAGAACGCACAGUUUAUACCGUAGCUUGCUACACCAUAGACUGUGAGUUGCGAACGGGUUAGUAACGCGUAGGUAACCUGCCUUGUAGCGGGGGAUAACUAUUGGAAACGAUAGCUAAUACCGCAUAAUAUUGAUUAUUGCAUGAUAAUUGAUUGAAAGAUGCUAUUGCAUCACUACCAGAUUGACCUGCGUUGUAUUAGCUAGUAGGUGAGGUAACGGCUCACCUAGGCGACGAUACAUAGACGACCUGAGAGGGUGAUCGGCCACACUGGGACUGAGACACGGCCCAGACUCCUACGGGAGGCAGCAGUAGGGAAUCUUAGGCAAUGGAAGAAAGUCUGACCGAGCAACGCCGCGUGAGUGAAGAAGGUUUUCGGAUCGUAAAGCUCUGUUGUAAGAGAAGAACGGGUGUGAGAGUGGAAAGUUCACACUGUGACGGUAUCUUAACAGAAAGGGACGGCUAACUACGUG
RNAcentral lists this ribosomal RNA (505 nucleotides) under uncultured bacterium. Its description in RNAcentral is "partial 16S ribosomal RNA". It matches the Rfam family "Bacterial small subunit ribosomal RNA", at positions 28 to 507 of the family's 1533-position model. The record is from RNAcentral.